UCCAGCGGUAGUCAGCUGCCCAUAGCUGCUCAGUGCCUGGGAUAGUGUUAUGCUGCUGGGAGAGGAAUGUGCUGCCGAGUCCUUCCUGGCACCAUCAGUGCUGUUCUAGUGCUAGAUGAUGCCAGGUUUUGGCAGCACUCUGCAUGCCUGAGAGUGGAGUAACUCCUCCUCAGUGGAGUUAAUCCUAGACUGGAUGCAGACAAU
This is a small nucleolar RNA of Colius striatus (speckled mousebird), 204 nucleotides long. It matches the Rfam family "Small nucleolar RNA SNORA74". Rfam says of the family: U19 belongs to the H/ACA class of snoRNAs. snoRNAs bind a number of proteins (including dyskerin, Gar1p and Nop10p in the case of the H/ACA class) to form snoRNP complexes. Lineage: Eukaryota; Metazoa; Chordata; Aves; Coliiformes; Coliidae. The record is from Rfam.